UGGUCAAGUGAGCGGCUGUCAUCUCUAGAUGGUUGUACAAAGUCCCAUAUGGGAGGUUUUGUAUAACUCUUCUAGAAAUGAUUUGCUCCUUGAGAGACACCU
Molecule: microRNA precursor, 102 nt
Filed under: Haemonchus contortus (barber pole worm)
Lineage: Eukaryota; Metazoa; Nematoda; Chromadorea; Rhabditida; Trichostrongylidae
Description: microRNA hco-mir-5897a precursor
Source: miRBase by way of RNAcentral